RNAcentral lists this small RNA (100 nucleotides) under Salmonella enterica. Its description in RNAcentral is "partial RtT sRNA". It matches the Rfam family "RtT RNA", at positions 1 to 99 of the family's 130-position model. From Rfam's summary of the family: This family represents a bacterial cis-regulatory element known as RtT RNA. The exact function of RtT is unknown although it is thought that it may be involved in changing the cellular response in relation to amino acid starvation. Lineage: Bacteria; Pseudomonadati; Pseudomonadota; Gammaproteobacteria; Enterobacterales; Enterobacteriaceae. RNAcentral also lists the same sequence under 1 other name. The record is from RNAcentral.
AUAUCUCUCUGUACGGGAAGGAUGAGAAGCUUCGACCAAGGUUCGAUUCGAGCGCAGCGAGAAAGCGUUGCCGCAGGCAACGACCCGAAGGGCGAAGCGC